GGGGCUGAUUCUGGAUUCGACGGGAUUUGCGAAACCCAAGGUGCAUGCCGAGGGGCGGUUGGCCUCGUAAAAAGCCGCAAAAAAAUAGUCGCAAACGACGAAAACUACGCUUUAGCAGCUUAAUAACCUGCUUAGAGCCCUCUCUCCCUAGCCUCCGCUCUUAGGACGGGGAUCAAGAGAGGUCAAACCCAAAAGAGAUCGCGCGGAUGCCCUGCCUGGGGUUGAAGCGUUAAAACAAAUCAGGCUAGUCUGGUAGUGGCGUGUCCGUCCGCAGGUGCCAGGCGAAUGUAAAGACUGACUAAGCAUGUAGUACCGAGGAUGUAGGAAUUUCGGACGCGGGUUCAACUCCCGCCAGCUCCACCA
This 363-nucleotide transfer-messenger RNA is filed under the name Salmonella enterica. It matches the Rfam family "transfer-messenger RNA". Rfam says of the family: Bacterial tmRNA, also known as 10Sa RNA or SsrA, is named for its dual tRNA and mRNA-like properties. Its role is to liberate the mRNA from a stalled ribosome. The record is from RNAcentral. Lineage: Bacteria; Pseudomonadati; Pseudomonadota; Gammaproteobacteria; Enterobacterales; Enterobacteriaceae. RNAcentral also lists the same sequence under 1 other name.